CAAACAUGUCACAGUAAUCAAUACCAUCUGUGUUAAGAUGUCGGGAAUGUGUUAGACGAAUGAUUUUGUUUUAUGGAGCUUUGAAGAGCGAUGAAUGGCACUAAAGUGGUGCCAAAUGGAUAUCUCAAACACCCAUUGUUGAUGUGUGAUGCUGAUAAUACACAGACAGCUAGAGUGACAGAGUUUGAUGAAUAAACUUAAAUUAAAAAACAGAAAUAACCACCAUCUCUCUCAGAGGUCAUCUUUCUCAUUAUUGUGGGGAAACCUCAAAGGGCAUCAGGAAAACCUUCAUCAACCUCUUUGUGCCCAGUGGCUUGUGCAACAGUGUUUCAGAAAUUAUCAUUAAAAUGGGGA
Long non-coding RNA from Mya arenaria, 354 nucleotides. RefSeq lists it as uncharacterized. The record is from RefSeq and is a predicted model, not a curated record. Lineage: Eukaryota; Metazoa; Mollusca; Bivalvia; Myida; Myidae. The transcript has 4 exons.